RNAcentral lists this ribosomal RNA (311 nucleotides) under uncultured bacterium. RNAcentral describes it as "bacterial SSU rRNA". It matches the Rfam family "Bacterial small subunit ribosomal RNA", at positions 28 to 334 of the family's 1533-position model. The record is from RNAcentral.
GACGAACGCUGGCGGCGCGCCUAACACAUGCAAGUCGAACGGAGAAAGAAACAGCUUGCUGGAUCUUUCUUAGUGGCGGACGGGUGAGUAACACGUGAGCAACCUGCCUCUUGGAGUGGAAUAACGUUUGGAAACGAACGCUAAUACCGCAUAACACCUCUGAAUGGCAUCAUUUGGAGGUCAAAGAUUUAUCGCCAAGAGAUGGGCUCGCGUCCGAUUAGGUAGUUGGUGAGAUAACAGCCCACCAAGCCGACGAUCGGUAGCCGGACUGAGAGGUUGAACGGCCACAUUGGGACUGAGACACGGCCCAG